GACGAACGCUGGCGGCGUGCUUAACACAUGCAAGUCGAGCGGUAAGGCCCUUUCGGGGGUACACGAGCGGCGAACGGGUGAGUAACACGUGGGUGACCUGCCCUCAGCUCUGGGAUAAGCCUGAGAAACCGGGUCUAAUACUGGAUAUGACUCCAUGACGCAUGUUGUGGGGUGGAAAGCCUUGUGCGGCUGAGGAUGGGCCCGCGGCCUAUCAGCUUGUUGGUGGGGUGAUGGCCUACCAAGGCGACGACGGGUAGCCGGCCUGAGAGGGCGACCGGCCACACUGGGACUGAGACACGGCCCAGACUCCUACGGGAGGCAGCAGUGGGGAAUCUUGCGCAAUGGGCGAAAGCCUGACGCAGCGACGCCGCGUGAGGGAUGACGGCCUGG
RNAcentral lists this ribosomal RNA (390 nucleotides) under uncultured bacterium. RNAcentral describes it as "bacterial SSU rRNA". It matches the Rfam family "Bacterial small subunit ribosomal RNA", at positions 28 to 419 of the family's 1533-position model. The record is from RNAcentral.